This 468-nucleotide ribosomal RNA is filed under the name uncultured bacterium. RNAcentral describes it as "partial 16S ribosomal RNA". It matches the Rfam family "Bacterial small subunit ribosomal RNA", at positions 28 to 507 of the family's 1533-position model. The record is from RNAcentral.
GACGAACGCUGGCGGCGUGCUUAACACAUGCAAGUCGAACGGAAAGGCCCUGCUUUUGUGGGGUGCUCGAGUGGCGAACGGGUGAGUAACACGCGAGUAACCUGCCCCUGACUGUGGGAUAACUUCAGGAAACUGGGGCUAAUACCGGAUAGGAGCUCCUGCUGCAUGGUGGGGGUUGGAAAGUUUCGGCGGUUGUGGAUGGACUCGCGGCUUAUCAGCUUGUUGGUGGGGUAGUGGCUUAACAAGGCUUUGACGGGUAGCCGGCCUGAGAGGGUGACCGGCCACAUUGGGACUGAGAUACGGCCCAGACUCCUACGUGAGGCAGCAGUGGGGAAUAUUGCACAAUGGGCGGAAGCGUGAUGCAGCAACGCCGCGUGCGGGAUGACGGCCUUCGGGUUGUAAACCGCUUUCGCCUGUGACGAAGCGUGAGUGACGGUAAUGGGUAAAGGAGCACCGGCUAACUACGUG